CUUCCUGUUUUAGUACCACCCAUCUGCUUCCUCACAAGGUGUGUGGCUAUGCUAACAGGAUAGAGGAACUCUAUCUAGAGUCUGUCAAGAUCUGAAGGGGUGGAUGGCCACACCUCCUCCACCUCUAUAUGAAUUGGCAGUACAUCUGUAU
Onychostoma macrolepis is the source of this 151-nucleotide small nucleolar RNA. RefSeq annotates it as small nucleolar RNA SNORA29. NCBI's taxonomy places the organism in Eukaryota, Metazoa, Chordata, Actinopteri, Cypriniformes, Cyprinidae. The record is from RefSeq and is a predicted model, not a curated record. The transcript has a single exon.